UGUAGUGUCAAAUGUCUUGAAAUACUGUCAGCAUGAAGUAUUGUGUGAUGAAAACAAAGUGUAUUUACUACAAUGUAGUAAAUCAAAGGAGGUCCAAAGUGGCUGGAUACUGAAGAACAGUUGUAACAGGUAAAACUCUUGCCCCAAGGAAAGAAUGUGCAUUAUCACCUGCUAAAAAAGGAAGAAACAGGGGGAUACUGACUGAUGUAUGGGCUUUAACACCAGGUUUUUACCCUUCAAGAGUUGGCCAACUAGAGUGAAGCAGGAGAGUGGGCUGUGCUUGACUAAGAAAAGCUGGAUUUGUUGAGAGAUCAAUACGCAUUCAAGAUCCUUAAGAAGAGAAGGACACAAGCAACAUCAGUGGUAGAUGUCACUCCAGCCCCUGCUUUUCCGGUCUCGCCUGCUGCUUUCCAGGUCCCUCCAGCUGCCAAGAUCAGGUCUAGGCACUGGCUGCCAUCCAGGUCCCCCUGGCGGUUGCGGUCGUGUUCUCAAAUGGCUGCUGUACUGGACUACUGGUCCCACCAC
Molecule: long non-coding RNA, 525 nt
Organism: Dreissena polymorpha
Lineage: Eukaryota; Metazoa; Mollusca; Bivalvia; Myida; Dreissenidae
Exons: 3
Source: RefSeq, a predicted model, not a curated record